GCCCGCCUAGCUCAAUCGGAUAGAGCGUGAGACUUUUAAGGCUUGGGCUUAUCCAGUCGGUAUUAUCUCAAGGCUGCGGGUUCGACCCCCGCGGUGGGCU
Daedalea quercina L-15889 is the source of this 100-nucleotide transfer RNA. It matches the Rfam family "tRNA". From Rfam's summary of the family: Transfer RNA (tRNA) molecules are approximately 80 nucleotides in length. Lineage: Eukaryota; Fungi; Basidiomycota; Agaricomycetes; Polyporales; Fomitopsidaceae. The record is from Rfam.